AUCCCUGUAGUGCAAUGGAAUGCUCGCUGGACUUCUAAUCCAAAAGUCAUGGGUUCAAACUCCAACUGGGAUG
This is a non-coding RNA of Trichonephila inaurata madagascariensis, 73 nucleotides long. NCBI's taxonomy places the organism in Eukaryota, Metazoa, Arthropoda, Arachnida, Araneae, Nephilidae. The record is from the annotation of a GenBank genome assembly.